This 452-nucleotide ribosomal RNA is filed under the name uncultured bacterium. RNAcentral describes it as "partial 16S ribosomal RNA". It matches the Rfam family "Bacterial small subunit ribosomal RNA", at positions 28 to 507 of the family's 1533-position model. The record is from RNAcentral.
GAUGAACGCUGGCGGCGUGCUUAACACAUGCAAGUCGAGCGAUUUACUUCGGUAAAGAGCGGCGGACGGGUGAGUAACGCGUGGGUAACCUACCCUGUACACACGGAUAACAUACCGAAAGGUAUGCUAAUACGAGAUAAUAUGCUUUUAUCGCAUGGUAGAAGUAUCAAAGCUUUUGCGGUACAGGAUGGACCCGCGUCUGAUUAGCUAGUUGGUGAGGUAACGGCUCACCAAGGCGACGAUCAGUAGCCGACCUGAGAGGGUGAUCGGCCACAUUGGAACUGAGACACGGUCCAAACUCCUACGGGAGGCAGCAGUGGGGAAUAUUGCACAAUGGGCGAAAGCCUGAUGCAGCAACGCCGCGUGAGCGAUGAAGGCCUUCGGGUCGUAAAGCUCUGUCCUCAAGGAAGAUAAUGACGGUACUUGAGGAGGAAGCCCCGGCUAACUACGUG